GUCCUAUAACGCAAUGCAUAGCGCGUUGGACUUCUAAUCCAAAGGUCGUGGGGUCGAAUCCCACCUGAGAUG
This 72-nucleotide transfer RNA is filed under the name Trichonephila clavata. RNAcentral's name for it is "tRNA-Arg". The stretch from base 7 to 64 matches the Rfam family "tRNA", at positions 8 to 63 of the family's 71-position model. Rfam says of the family: Transfer RNA (tRNA) molecules are approximately 80 nucleotides in length. Their secondary structure includes four short double-helical elements and three loops (D, anti-codon, and T loops). Lineage: Eukaryota; Metazoa; Arthropoda; Arachnida; Araneae; Nephilidae. The record is from RNAcentral.